GAUGAACGCUGGCGGCGUGCCUAAUACAUGCAAGUCGAGCGAACAGACGAGGAGCUUGCUCCUUUGACGUUAGCGGCGGACGGGUGAGUAACACGUAGGUAACCUACCUAUAAGACUGGGAUAACUUCGGGAAACCGGAGCUAAUACCGGAUAAUAUUUCGAACCGCAUGGUUCGAUAGUGAAAGAUGGCUUUGCUAUCACUUAUAGAUGGACCUGCGCCGUAUUAGCUAGUUGGUAAGGUAACGGCUUACCAAGGCAACGAUACGUAGCCGACCUGAGAGGGUGAUCGGCCACACUGGAACUGAGACACGGUCCAGACUCCUACGGGAGGCAGCAGUAGGGAAUCUUCCGCAAAGGGCGAAAGCCUGACGGAGCAACGCCGCGUGAGUGAUGAAGGUCCUCGGAUCGUAAAACUCUGUUAUUAGGGAAGAACAAACGUGUAAGUAACUGUGCACGUCUUGACGGUACCUAAUCAGAAAGCCACGGCUAACUACGUG
This 497-nucleotide ribosomal RNA is filed under the name uncultured bacterium. Its description in RNAcentral is "partial 16S ribosomal RNA". It matches the Rfam family "Bacterial small subunit ribosomal RNA", at positions 28 to 507 of the family's 1533-position model. The record is from RNAcentral.